UCAGUCGACUCCUACGGGGAGGCAGCAGUGGGGGAAUAGUUGCACAAUGGGCGCAAGCCUGAUGCAGCCAUGCCGCGUGUGUGAAGAAGGACCUCGGGUGUAAAGCACUUCAGCCGUGAGGAAGGCAUUGUACCUAAUACGUGCAGUGUUUGACGUUAGCGGCAGAAGAAGCACCGGCUAACUCCGUGCCAGCAGCCGCGGUAAUACGGAGGGUGCGAGCGUUAAUCGGAAUUACUGGGCGUAAAGCGCAUGCAGGCGGUCUGUUAAGCAAGAUGUGAAAGACCCCGGGCUUAACCUGGGAACCGCAUUUUGAACUGGCAGGCUAGAGUCUUGUAGAGGGGGGGUAGGAAUUUCAGGUGUAGCGGUGAAAUGCGUAGAGAUCUGAAGGAAUACCGGUGGCGAAGGCGGCCCCCUCGGACAAAGACUGACGCUCAGAUGCGAAAGCGUGGGGAGCAAACAGGAUUAGAUACCCUGGUAG
This 478-nucleotide ribosomal RNA is filed under the name uncultured bacterium. RNAcentral describes it as "bacterial SSU rRNA". It matches the Rfam family "Bacterial small subunit ribosomal RNA", at positions 328 to 793 of the family's 1533-position model. The record is from RNAcentral.